This 238-nucleotide long non-coding RNA is filed under the name Solanum tuberosum (potato). RNAcentral's name for it is "long non-coding RNA (STUB_LNC001076)". Lineage: Eukaryota; Viridiplantae; Streptophyta; Magnoliopsida; Solanales; Solanaceae. The record is from RNAcentral.
AAGCAGAUUUGAAGCAGUCAAAAAAAAUAGUAGAGUAUUUCUAGCCCCAAGAAGUAAUGUAGUUUUCCUAAAUCCUUUAUCUUGAACUGGUCAUCAAGGGAAACCUUUAGGGAGUUUAUCUCACUUAUAACUGAGUGUUUGUAUCCUUUUGAGUGAAGACUGCUGCCCCUUACAGGAUGCCUUGCUCAAAAAUUUUAAAAUGGAAAAAACCAUAUUAAAUGACAAAUGAUGAUUCCUU